This is a long non-coding RNA of Rosa chinensis, 648 nucleotides long. RefSeq lists it as uncharacterized. Lineage: Eukaryota; Viridiplantae; Streptophyta; Magnoliopsida; Rosales; Rosaceae. The transcript is spliced from 3 exons. The record is from RefSeq and is a predicted model, not a curated record.
CUCUAGCCUCCACCGGAAAUCGCCGCCACCGCCAGACGCCGCACCGCCGCCGCCGGCCGCCGUCGCCGGAACCCCUCUCCUCACCAAAAUUUCCAGAUUUUCUCCUCUUCCUUCCCUCUUUCCAUUUCUCCAACCAAAAUCAUGAAAUUUAGCCAUUUAAUCCCCCAAAAACCCUAGAACCCGAAGCUAAAUUUGGGGCUUUUGUGAUUUCUUCUUUCCAAGCUCAAAUCAAGGCUAUGGGUUUGGCAAGAAUUUUUGGUAAGGAUCUAUCCAUGCAACCUUGUUUUCGAGUUUUUGGUUGAGAUGUUGAUUAUGGACGGAUUUGUAGGUGAAGAAGGCCAAGGAGAAGGAGUAUGACAUGAUUUUUGAAGAAGAAAGGGUUAUAACGAGGUCAUUCCGGACGAUUUGGAUUAGAAGUGGGUCGUUGGCCAAGUUCGUGUGUUGCUGUUCCUGUUGCUUGAAGUUCUUCCCUUGUGGUAUUCCAUCGUUUUACUCGUUUUUCAUUCCAUGUUGAACUCUGUGAGGUCCGCCUACCUAGGAGCGCGCCUCACCCCUUUGUUUAUUUGUUGUUGUUGAACUUUCCUUUCAUUUCGGUUAUGAUGUAAGCCCUAAGGCGCCACAAUGCACUUGCCACCUUAUUUUGUUGCU